AUGGCUGCUGACAGAUUCUUGCACUUCGCCUCGCUCGUUUCCAUGGUGGUCUUGGCCGCCGGAUCGAGAUCGCUGGACGGCAUGGCAGCGCUGCCGCGCCGUGGCCAGCUGGUUGCCGGUGGGGACAACGACAAGAACGAGUGCGUGUACACGCUGUACGUGGAGACCGGGUGGAUCUGGAUGGCCGGCACGGACGCGGCGAUUGGCGUGGAGCUCGCAGCGGUGGACAGCAGCGGCUUCGCUGUUGGGGACCUGGAGCGGUGGGGUAGGCUCAUGGGCGCCGGGCACGACUAGUACGAGCGCG
Molecule: long non-coding RNA, 304 nt
Filed under: Oryza sativa Indica Group (long-grained rice)
Lineage: Eukaryota; Viridiplantae; Streptophyta; Magnoliopsida; Poales; Poaceae
Description: lncRNA OsMH63_11G013780
Source: RNAcentral